Molecule: long non-coding RNA, 575 nt
Filed under: Fukomys damarensis (Damara mole-rat)
Lineage: Eukaryota; Metazoa; Chordata; Mammalia; Rodentia; Bathyergidae
Description: lncRNA (ENSFDAG00000030008.1)
Source: RNAcentral
AUGUCCAUACUUUUGUCCCCAGUAGCCACCCAUAGGAAAGCCCUAGAGGACGGAGGACCGGUAUGUGGUAUGGUGAUACAGGAAUCCCUUCCAGAGAACAAGAAGAAGUCUUGUGGGGCGCUGUUGUCUGUCACAUCUGCUGUGCUUUUACCUCCCAUCUCCUCCCUCAUUCAAAGUGAGAGCCCAGCCCAGCUGCUGUGCCUCUUUCCUUCCGAUCUGGGGGAUCUGUACCCAGGGUCAGUGCAGUCACGUUCCUGCAAGACUGAUGACAGAUCUAAUUGGGAGGUGUGCCAUUAAUAGCCACACUUUGAAUAAAUAAGAACUGCAUUUUGUAUCACGGCGACUUUUUUUUUUUUUUUUUUUUUUUUUUGAGAUAAAGUCUCACUAUGAAGUUCGAGCUGGCCUUGGACUCACUAUGGCCUCACACCUGUGGCAAUCCUCCUGCCUCAGCCUCCUGAGUGCUGGGAUUAUAGGCGUGCGCCCCCACACCUGGCUGUGCAUCAUGGUGAGAUCAAGCUACCUGAGUCUGCAGAUGAGGAAAUCGCUGCAUAUUAAUAUCUUAAAUCAGGAAGGCA